GACGAACGCUGGCGGCGUGCUUAACACAUGCAAGUCGAACGGUAAGGCCCUUUCGGGGGUACACGAGUGGCGAACGGGUGAGUAACACGUGGGUAAUCUGCCCUGCACUUCGGGAUAAGCCUGGGAAACUGGGUCUAAUACCGGAUAUGAGUCCCGGCCGCAGGGUCUGGGGGUGGAAAGUUUUUCGGUGCAGGAUGAGCCCGCGGCCUAUCAGCUUGUUGGUGGGGUAAUGGCCUACCAAGGCGACGACGGGUAGCCGGCCUGAGAGGGUGAUCGGCCACACUGGGACUGAGACACGGCCCAGACUCCUACGGGAGGCAGCAGUGGGGGAUAUUGCACAAUGGGCGGAAGCCUGAUGCAGCGACGCCGCGUGGGGGAUGACGGUCUUCGGAUUGUAAACCCCUUUCAGUAGGGACGAAGCGCAAGUGACGGUACCUGCAGAAGAAGCACCGGCCAACUACGUGCCAGCCGCCGCGGUAA
RNAcentral lists this ribosomal RNA (480 nucleotides) under uncultured bacterium. RNAcentral describes it as "partial 16S ribosomal RNA". It matches the Rfam family "Bacterial small subunit ribosomal RNA", at positions 28 to 523 of the family's 1533-position model. The record is from RNAcentral.